RNAcentral lists this ribosomal RNA (468 nucleotides) under uncultured bacterium. RNAcentral describes it as "partial 16S ribosomal RNA". It matches the Rfam family "Bacterial small subunit ribosomal RNA", at positions 28 to 507 of the family's 1533-position model. The record is from RNAcentral.
GACGAACGCUGGCGGCGUGCUUAACACAUGCAAGUCGAACGGAAAGGCCCUGCUUGUGUGGGGUGCUCGAGUGGCGAACGGGUGAGUAACACGUGAGUAACCUGCGCUUGACUUUGGGAUAACUUCAGGAAACUGGGGCUAAUACCGGAUAGGAGCUCCUGCUGCAUGGUGGGGGUUGGAAAGUUUCGGCGGGUGUGGCUGGACUCGCGGCUUACCAGCUUGUUGGUGGGGUAGUGGCUUACCAAGGCUUUGACGGGUAGCCGGCCUGAGAGGGUGACCGGCCACCUGGGGCCUGCGGUAGGCCCCAGACUGCUACGUGAGGCAGCGGUGGGGAAUAUUGCACAGUGGGCGGGCGCCUGAUGCGGCGGCGCUGCGUUCGGGAUGACGGCCUUCGGGUUGUAAACCGCUUUCGCCUGUGACGAAGCGUGAGUGACGGUAAUGGGUAAAGAAGCACCGGCUAACUACGUG